CAGUACUUCAAGCCCAAGCCCUCAGUCAGGGCAGGGCAACAAAUAGCAGUUCUGGGCUCAGACCCUCAGGCAGGAGCUGAGCACCCACACAGCAGUUCAAGGGCUCACGUCCUCGGGCAGGAGCUGAGCAAACACACAGCCAGUUCAAGGGCUCAGGUCCUCGGGCAGGAGCUGAGCAACACUGUUGGGUGAGGACCAGCUGUUCAAACAACGCAGAAAUGAUGUCAUCUACUGGCAAACAGAAGAAAAUACUGUAAGGAAUUCUGGCUAUCAAUUAUAGAAGAGCUUGGGAGAGAGAUGAGUUAAAGAAGUGAAGGAUCAGGAAAAGGUACAAAUGAAGAGGCUCUUUGGGUGAAAGUAAAGGAGGAAAACAGACUGUUAUGCUAACCUUGGUGCUCUUCAUGGGAAGCCAUUUCUCCAGUGUGAAUAGUGUCUCUGCAUUUGGAAAUUGUUAUUGAACUCUUACUUCACCGCAGGGUGUCCACUGAUAAAUUUGCCAGAUAAAUACA
This is a long non-coding RNA of Mauremys mutica (yellowpond turtle), 509 nucleotides long. RefSeq lists it as uncharacterized. Lineage: Eukaryota; Metazoa; Chordata; Testudines; Geoemydidae. The record is from RefSeq and is a predicted model, not a curated record. The transcript has 4 exons.